This 443-nucleotide ribosomal RNA is filed under the name uncultured bacterium. RNAcentral describes it as "partial 16S ribosomal RNA". It matches the Rfam family "Bacterial small subunit ribosomal RNA", at positions 338 to 795 of the family's 1533-position model. The record is from RNAcentral.
CCUACGGGAGGCAGCAGUGGGGAAUAUUGGGCAAUGGGCGCAAGCCUGACCCAGCAACGCCGCGUGAAGGAAGAAGGCUUUCGGGUUGUAAACUUCUUUUCUCAGGGACGAAGCAAGUGACGGUACCCGAGGAAUAAGCCACGGCUAACUACGUGCCAGCAGCCGCGGUAAUACGUAGGUGGCAAGCGUUAUCCGGAUUUACUGGGUGUAAAGGGCGUGUAGGCGGGGACGUAAGUCAGAUGUGAAAACCACGGGCUCAACCUGUGGUCUGCAUUUGAAACUGUGAUACUUGAGUUCUGGAGAGGCAGACGGAAUUCCUAGUGUAGCGGUGAAAUGCGUAGAUAUUAGGAGGAACACCAGUGGCGAAGGCGGUCUGCUGGACAGCAACUGACGCUGAGGCGCGAAAGCGUGGGGAGCAAACAGGAUUAGAUACCCCAGUAGUC